UGUCAAUAAACCAAGGUGUGCUGUGAGCCC
RNAcentral lists this non-coding RNA (30 nucleotides) under Mus musculus (house mouse). Lineage: Eukaryota; Metazoa; Chordata; Mammalia; Rodentia; Muridae. The record is from RNAcentral.